This 253-nucleotide ribosomal RNA is filed under the name uncultured bacterium. RNAcentral's name for it is "partial 16S ribosomal RNA". It matches the Rfam family "Bacterial small subunit ribosomal RNA", at positions 524 to 776 of the family's 1533-position model. The record is from RNAcentral.
UCCGUAGGGUGCGAGCGUUGUCCGGAAUUAUUGGGCGUAAAGAGCGUGUAGGCGGCCAGGUAGGUCUGGUGUGAAAACUCGAGGCUUAACCUCGAGAUGUCAUCGGAAACCAUCUGGCUAGAGUCCGGAAGAGGAGAGUGGAAUUCCUGGUGUAGCGGUGAAAUGCGCAGAUAUCAGGAAGAACACCAAUGGCGAAAGCAGCUCUCUGGGACGGUACUGACGCUGAGACGCGAAAGCGUGGGGAGCGAACAGG